This 253-nucleotide ribosomal RNA is filed under the name uncultured bacterium. RNAcentral describes it as "partial 16S ribosomal RNA". It matches the Rfam family "Bacterial small subunit ribosomal RNA", at positions 524 to 776 of the family's 1533-position model. The record is from RNAcentral.
UACGUAGGUGGCAAGCGUUAUCCGGAUUUACUGGGUGUAAAGGGCGAGUAGGCGGGAUUGCAAGUCAGAUGUGAAAACUAUGGGCUCAACCGUUAGAGUGCAUUUGAAACUGCAGCUCUUGAGUGAUGGAGAGGCAGGCGGAAUUCCCGGUGUAGCGGUGGAAUGCGUAGAUAUCGGGAGGAACACCAGUGGCGAAGGCGGCCUGCUGGACAUUAACUGACGCUGAGGCGCGAAAGCGUGGGGAGCAAACAGG